Long non-coding RNA from Folsomia candida, 330 nucleotides. RefSeq lists it as uncharacterized. NCBI's taxonomy places the organism in Eukaryota, Metazoa, Arthropoda, Collembola, Entomobryomorpha, Isotomidae. The record is from RefSeq and is a predicted model, not a curated record. The transcript has 3 exons.
CCACAAUUGGCAACAUGCUUGUAGUGUAGCCCAUUUUGGUUAUCUUAUGAUUAAGAAGCUCAAGUUAAUUGAACAGGGUUAUCUUACGCCGUUACAAGGAUUUGCAAUCUUGGUCUCGGCAAUCGCGCAUGAUAUUGACCAUCGUGGAACAAACAAUAGAUUUCAGUCUUGUACAAAUUCAGAUCUUUCCAAGUUAUACAAUACACAAGAAUCUAUUUUAGAGAGACAUCAUUUGGCCAUUACGUUGUCAAUAUUGCGCAGAGAAGACUGUAACCUAAUAGAAAAAUUAAGCCCUGAUGAUUACAAAGAGUUUAUCGAAUUAUUGACAUG